AGAACGAACGCUGGCGGCAGGCCUAACACAUGCAAGUCGAGCGCUGUAGCAAUACAGAGCGGCGCACGGGAGAGUAAUACAUGGGAACCUACCUUUUGGUUCGGAAUAACGUCGGGAAACUGACGCUAAUACCGGAUAAGCCCUUCGGGGGAAAGUUUUUCGCCGAUAGAUGGGCCCAUGUUGGAUUAGCUAGUUGGUGAGGUAACGGCUCACCAAGGCUACGAUCCAUAGCGGGUCUGAGAGGAUGAUCCGCCUCACUGGGACUGAGACACGGCCCAGACUCCUACGGGAGGCAGCAGUGGGGAAUAUUGGACAAUGGGGGCAACCCUGAUCCAGCCAUGCCGCGUGAGUGAUGAAGGCCUUCGGGUUGUAAAGCUCUUUGCAGGGGACGAUGAUGACGGUACCUGAGAAUAAGCCCCGCUAACUUCGCGCCAGCAGCCGC
Molecule: ribosomal RNA, 442 nt
Filed under: uncultured bacterium
Lineage: Bacteria
Description: SSU rRNA
Rfam family: Bacterial small subunit ribosomal RNA
Source: RNAcentral